GAUGAAGAACGCAGCGAAAUGCGAUAAGUAAUGUGAAUUGCAGAAUUCAGUGAAUCAUCGAAUCUUUGAACGCACAUUGCGCUCCCUGGUAUUCCGGGGGGCAUGCCUGUCCGAGCGUCAUUACAACCCUCAAGCUCAGCUUGGUGUUGGGCCCCGCCGCCCCGGCGGGCCCUAAAGUCAGUGGCGGUGCCGUCCGGCUCCGAGCGUAGUAAUUCUUCUCGCUCUGGAGGUCCGGUCGUGUGCUCGCCAGCAACCCCCAAUUUUUUUCAGGUUGACCUCGGAUCAGGUAGGGAUACCCGCUGAACUUAAGCAUAUCAAUAAGCGGAGGA
Molecule: unclassified non-coding RNA, 329 nt
Filed under: soil metagenome
Description: partial contains 5.8S ribosomal RNA, internal transcribed spacer 2, and large subunit ribosomal RNA
Rfam family: 5.8S ribosomal RNA (bases 1-120)
Source: RNAcentral